RNAcentral lists this ribosomal RNA (1430 nucleotides) under uncultured marine bacterium. Its description in RNAcentral is "bacterial SSU rRNA". It matches the Rfam family "Bacterial small subunit ribosomal RNA". The record is from RNAcentral.
UGAUCCUGGCUCAGAACGUACGCUGGCGGCACGCCUAACACAUGCAAGUCGAACGAAGUAGCAAUACUUAGUGGCAGACGGGUGAGUAACAUGUAGGUAUCUGCCCUUUGGCCUGGAAUAACACGAGGAAACUUGUGCUAAUACCGGAUAAGUCUUUACGGAGAAAGCUUUAUGCACCAUUGGAUGAGCCUGCACUUGAUUAGUUUGUUGGUGGGGUAAUGGCCUACCAAGACUGUGAUCAAUAGCUGAUUUGAGAGGAUGAUCAGCCACAUUGGGACUGAGACACGGCCCAAACUCCUACGGGAGGCAGCAGUGGGGAAUCUUGCACAAUGGAGGAAACUCUGAUGCAGCGAUGCCGCGUGAGUGAAGAAGGCCUUUGGGUUGUAAAGCUCUUUCGUCGGGGAAGAAAAUGACUGUACCCGAAUAAGAAGGUCCGGCUAACUUCGUGCCAGCAGCCGCGGUAAUACGAAGGGACCUAGCGUAGUUCGGAAUUACUGGGCUUAAAGAGUUCGUAGGUGGUUGAAAAAGUUAGUGGUGAAAUCCCAGAGCUUAACUCUGGAACUGCCAUUAAAACUUUUCAGCUAGAGUAUGAUAGAGGAAAGCAGAAUUUCUAGUGUAGAGGUGAAAUUCGUAGAUAUUAGAAAGAAUACCAAUUGCGAAGGCAGCUUUCUGGAUCAUUACUGACACUGAGGAACGAAAGCAUGGGUAGCGAAGAGGAUUAGAUACCCUCGUAGUCCAUGCCGUAAACGAUGUGUGUUAGACGUUGGAAAUUUAUUUUCAGUGUCGCAGCGAAAGCGAUAAACACACCGCCUGGGGAGUACGACCGCAAGGUUAAAACUCAAAUGAAUUGACGGGGACCCGCACAAGUAGUGGAGCAUGUGGUUUAAUUCGAAGAUACGCGCAGAACCUUACCAACACUUGACAUGUUCGUCGCGACUCUAAGAGAUUAGAGUUUUCGGUUCGGCCGGACGAAACACAGGUGCUGCAUGGCUGUCGUCAGCUCGUGUCGUGAGAUGUUGGGUUAAGUCCCGCAACGAGCGCAACCCUCACUUUUAGUUGCCAUCAUUAAGUUGGGCACUCUGAAAGAACUGCCAGUGAUAAGCUGGAGGAAGGUGGGGAUGACGUCAAGUCCUCAUGGCCCUUACGUGUUGGGCUACACACGUGCUACAAUGGUAUCUACAACAGGAAGCAAGACUGCGAAGUUAAGCAAAUCCCUAAAAGAUACCUCAGUUCGGAUUGCACUCUGCAACUCGAGUGCAUGAAGCUGGAAUUACUAGUAAUCGUGGAUCAGCGUGCCACGGUGAAUGCGUUCCCGGGUCUUGUACACACCGCCCGUCACACCAUGGGAGUUGGUUCUACCUUAAGGCAAGGUUUCAAACCCUUGACCACGGUAUAGUCAGCGACUGGGGUGAAGUCGUAACAAGGUAACC